This 205-nucleotide ribosomal RNA is filed under the name Salmonella enterica. RNAcentral describes it as "partial 16S ribosomal RNA". It matches the Rfam family "Bacterial small subunit ribosomal RNA", at positions 1 to 215 of the family's 1533-position model. Lineage: Bacteria; Pseudomonadati; Pseudomonadota; Gammaproteobacteria; Enterobacterales; Enterobacteriaceae. The record is from RNAcentral.
AAAUUGAAGAGUUUGAUCAUGGCUCAGAUUGAACGCUGGCGGCAGGCCUAACACAUGCAAGUCGAACGGUAGCACAGAGAGCUUGCUCUCGGGUGACGAGUGGCGGACGGGUGAGUAAUGUCUGGGAAACUGCCUGAUGGAGGGGGAUAACUACUGGAAACGGUGGCUAAUACCGCAUAACGUCGCAAGACCAAAGAGGGGGACC